RNAcentral lists this small nuclear RNA (156 nucleotides) under Triticum aestivum (bread wheat). Its description in RNAcentral is "partial small subunit ribosomal RNA". The stretch from base 24 to 156 matches the Rfam family "U1 spliceosomal RNA", at positions 1 to 137 of the family's 166-position model. Rfam says of the family: U1 is a small nuclear RNA (snRNA) component of the spliceosome (involved in pre-mRNA splicing). Its 5' end forms complementary base pairs with the 5' splice junction, thus defining the 5' donor site of an intron. There are significant differences in sequence and secondary structure between metazoan and yeast U1 snRNAs, the latter being much longer (568 nucleotides as compared to 164 nucleotides in human). Lineage: Eukaryota; Viridiplantae; Streptophyta; Magnoliopsida; Poales; Poaceae. The record is from RNAcentral.
AUGGCUAGGUGCUUCAUUGCAAGAUACUUACCUGGACGGGGUCAACGGGUGAUCAAGAAGGCUCGUGGCCUAGAUCAAUGGCUCACAUUGCACUUGGUGAGUGUGUUGGUCUACCAUCUCCCCAAGUGGGAGAGUGGACGUCGUAAUUUGUGGUAG